AUGCCAUGGUGAGGACACUAUCUUUGCAAACCCUUGUAUGUCUGUCAUGCCUCAUAGAGAGACUCCAAUUCAUGUUGUUGAAAACCAGAUAUCUCAUUUUUGAACUU
Molecule: small nucleolar RNA, 107 nt
Filed under: Beta vulgaris subsp. vulgaris (sugar beet)
Lineage: Eukaryota; Viridiplantae; Streptophyta; Magnoliopsida; Caryophyllales; Amaranthaceae
Description: Plant small nucleolar RNA R71
Rfam family: Plant small nucleolar RNA R71
About the family: R71 is a member of the C/D box family of snoRNAs containing the C (UGAUGA) and D (CUGA) box motifs. Multiple nearly identical copies of this snoRNA have been identified in Arabidopsis, and it is thought to function as a 2'-O-ribose methylation guide for 18S ribosomal RNA.
Source: Rfam by way of RNAcentral